CCUACGGGAGGCUGCAGUGGGGAAUAUUGGACAAUGGGCGAAAGCCUGAUCCAGCCAUGCCGCGUGUGUGAAGAAGGCCUUCGGGUUGUAAAGCACUUUCAGUGGGGAAGAAAGCCUUGGGGCUAAUACCCUCGAGGAAGGACAUCACCCACAGAAGAAGCACCGGCUAACUCCGUGCCAGCAGCCGCGGUAAUACCGGAGGGUGCGAGCGUUAAUCGGAAUUACUGGGCGUAAAGCGCGCGUAGGCGGUCUGAUAAGCCGGUUGUGAAAGCCCCGGGCUCAACCUGGGAACGGCAUCCGGAACUGUCAGGCUAGAGUGCAGGAGAGGAAGGUAGAAUUCCCGGUGUAGCGGUGAAAUGCGUAGAGAUCGGGAGGAAUACCAGUGGCGAAGGCGGCCUUCUGGACUGACACUGACGCUGAGGUGCGAAAGCGUGGGUAGCAAACAGGAUUAGAUACCCGAGUAGUC
RNAcentral lists this ribosomal RNA (466 nucleotides) under Vreelandella stevensii. RNAcentral's name for it is "partial 16S ribosomal RNA". It matches the Rfam family "Bacterial small subunit ribosomal RNA", at positions 338 to 795 of the family's 1533-position model. The record is from RNAcentral. Lineage: Bacteria; Pseudomonadati; Pseudomonadota; Gammaproteobacteria; Oceanospirillales; Halomonadaceae.